AUCUGUUGUUCCCCUAUCGGAUGGGUGUGUGCUCUGGGAUGUUGGUGUAGAUAAGAAGAGGUCUGUCCGCUGACUGGUCGCUCAGCAUGCUGUGCCUGGUCAGGGCAGCCGGGCAGCAGCUGUGCCAGGCCUUUGCGGUCAGGGGACAGUGGUUAAAAUGUGCAUCCCCAUGUAGAGCUGCAGUCCAUGCACACAUGUACGGGAUCUGUUGGAGAGGUGACAAGAGUGAGCUGAAG
Trematomus bernacchii (emerald rockcod) is the source of this 236-nucleotide long non-coding RNA. RefSeq lists it as uncharacterized. The record is from RefSeq and is a predicted model, not a curated record. The transcript has 3 exons. NCBI's taxonomy places the organism in Eukaryota, Metazoa, Chordata, Actinopteri, Perciformes, Nototheniidae.